CCUAGUUAGUACUUGCGCAGUGUUGAAGAUGGGAGACAGUGGAGUUUGAUGUUAUAUCAGGAGCGAAGGGUCUAGAAUCAGCCAACGUGAGAGGACUAGAUGGAAGCCCUGUACAAGGAAGCAAAUAUGCUCCGGACCGCCGAAGAAACUACUACCGCAACUAUCGAGUUACCCGUCGUGGGAGACGCCGUCCCCGUGGUGGGCCCGACUCCGCUACCAACGGAGAGGUUAAACCAAAGGAGGAUGAUAAACAGAAGAGGCGACCCCGCCGAAGACGACGUCCCAGAUAUAGGCGCAGGUCUGAUGAGGAACGCCCUGAGGGCGAUAAGCAAGAAGAACGAGAUGGUGAUCAUGAAGGAGGAGAAGAGGGAGAAGAGCGUCCGGCACAGAAUCCUCGCCGUCAUCGUCCUUACCGCAGAUUCUAUAGGCACCCUCGUAGAGAGGACGGAGCGAGAGGAAAGUGGUCGAUGGGAAGAGCUGAAAGACUGCUUGAUUCGUACUGUUGUUUUGAAGACAAAGAAAGGGCUUCUAAGGAGACCUGAACAGAGGCUACCUCGUCUGGAAGCAAGCCGUACUCAAUUUGGAAGGGUGAAUUAGGUGAAAACGGAGCUUACGGUGGAGAGUCCUUACUCGAAAGGUCAAGAAAAGGGCGAAGAAGAAACAAUUUACACAGAAAUCAGUGUCAAGUCUUCAAAGUAUUGGAGAGGUGGGGAGGAUGUUCGGGCCUGGACCUGCAGUGGGAGGAUCUCACGCCCCCCAGUGAGAAUGGACUUUUAACGGGACCACCCUACUGAGGACAUUUUUUGUUGUGGUACUAUUAUGGUAUAUAAAAACAUCUGCUUUUCGCUUGAAGUUAUUUUAGUAGUCUGAACAAAAUAUUUUAGUAGUCGGAACAAAACAAUUUAGUAGUCUGAACAGAACACCACGCACGCACUUUGCUAAGAACAACUUUCUUUAACUUCCUUCGACACUAGCGCCCAUUUUAAAAGCGCUUGUGAUAUACAAAACAACUUGCUGCCGUCUUGUAAACUGUUUCAUAAAUUGUAGAGUAACAGUAAUAGGAGCCCGGCGUAACACGAAAAAGUUUACCUUCUCCACAUUUUGCACCCUAUUUUGCGUCCCGCAGGCUGAAAAUCCACAAUGAUGACCAAACAUCUCCCAAGGAGAAAAAAGAAAAUGGCGGGCUUCUGGUGAAGCAUCUGACUAUACGUAAUCCUCGAUGAACGUUGAAUCAUUUCUGCCCUAUGAUCCACUUCCGGAAACUCGACUAGGAGCAUGACUUCCGCCGUUGCAGCUUUUGUUUCCGCCGUAAAAGUUUUUGUUUGUGCCGUGGAGUUUUUUUUUGUACCGUGGAGUUUUUGUUUGUGUCGUGGAGUUUUUGUUUAUGCCGGGGAGUUUUUGUUUGUGCCGUGGAGUUUAUAUUUGUGCCGUGGAGUUUUUGUUUGUGCUGUGGAGUUUUUGUUUGUGCCGUGGCACCCGUGGGCCACCGUACUGUUCUUUUAUUUUAAACGACGAUAAUGGUCCUGUUUUUUCCGAUGAGGGGCCAUGAAUGACUGUUGUAGUGUUGAGGAGAAAUAUUGGAUUUAUCGCCCUACGUGCGACGAGGAAGUAGAGCCAUGUGCAACCGAGGAAGAGGCCGUCGCUUUUGAGGAAAACAUUUAAACCUGGCUAGUGAAGAAACGAGGGAGCUAGAGCUUCAAAAGCGGCUUACUUGCGACGCAGAAGUUCGUGAUACAAAUUUUUAGCACAUUUGAUCUUAGGUAAGCUUUUGUAACAGCCAGUUUACCCUUGUUCUUAUUUCCCUGGAAGUUCAAAUCUUUUCCCUUUGUCAUGCAAUGCCUUUAGGCCGUUAUGCAGCGCUUUUCCUUGCGAAGCAGUGGUAUACCAUGGUUUCGAGGAAGAUCAAUAGCCUGUUUAGUUCUAUGAAUUGUGUUUUACUUAUUACAGAUGACUGUGGACUCGUGUUUGUGCAGCAGUUUUCAUCUUCGGAAAAAAAUCAGAAUGCUGAUAAACUUUUACAAAGGACUACUUUUUGUUAUUCUCAGGGAACAAAAGUAUUUUGUCCACACUGUUACUGUGACACCCAGAAACUGUGAACUCUAGAAAUACAUGUACUUAUGUAAUGUCCUUGCAAUUCAAGACAACUGACAGCAGUAGUAGGGAGUUUGCUCACUCUUGAAUUGUGUGUUGAACUAUACACAACUGUCCUGUGAGAAUCAAAUCAAAGAGUUUGUGGCUUUCUUAGUUUCACAGUAAUAAGUAAUCAAGCAGUGUGGUCCUAUAUUUUGCAUGGUUGCAUGGCCUGCUGCAAAUCUGUAGUUCACCACCUUCUCUACCCCCAGAUUGGCCAGGUGGUCUGCCUUCUACAAAUUAAUUGUACUUGAAUGUGCUUCCCAAGAGUUAGAUCAGAGGAAAUAAAUCUUAACCAAGAUUAAAUCAAAAUGAUUAGAAGGUAAUCGUGUUUCUAAACAUUUGGUGAAGCAGGACAAUUCUAAUAUUACUAUUGAGUGAUUCAUUUGUUUAUUUAUUUGAACACUUGUUUAUCCACUGCAUUCUGGGGUUAUCAGUGAUGGAUGGAUGUAGUAAGAAAAACUUCAGAAGGAAUAGUGUCAAGGUCACCAUUAUAAACAAAACACAGUUUUCUUUUGCCUUUGAAUAUAGGCUGACAAGCACAAACACAACUUUUCACUCAGUCAGUACAAGUACCACUGUUUACACAGGGAUUAUUGGAACACUCUUUGAUAUCAUUUAUGCUUUUGUAUGGCUUGCUCUUUUGAUCCCUAGUAGCGAUAUUUCAGCAUUUGUAUUAAAGAAUAAUUGUUCAAUCCUGCACAACACAACCCUUGGGUGGCAAUUCCGGCCUCAAAACGACGAUUACUGACUCUCCUAGAACUAUUCACGUACAACAAUCUCCGUUCAUUUCUAGGUUACGAGCGUGCGCGAAAGUUUAGGGGAUAAUAUGACGUCACAGACUUACGCGCGGCCAUUUCGCAGUUUGGACAAGGGAGGACGUAAAAUCGAGGAAAACAAGUCUAGAAAAAACAAGUCUAUAAAAAACAAACUUUCACUUCAAAUUUUAAUUCCAAAUUUCGUGAGAGUGGUAAGUAGCCAGUGAGGAUUCUAAAAAGUGAAAAAUCUGGCAUACGCUAAAUUUAGUCUCGGUAGCACUUUAGGGCAAUGUUUCAGUUACGCUUGAUAACUUAAAUGUGUGGCCAUGAUGAGAAAUGAUUAUGAGAGUCCUGUGGGCGUGUCGCACUCAGAGAGAAACGCGAUAAGAUAUCGGCAACCAAAGACAGAUUACAUCACGCAGGAAAUUUGCUAGAUGAAGAUACAAGAAGAGGGCUUAAGCGGACAUCCAUGAAAAAAUCAAACAAAAAUGAAAAUUUUCUGGCAAGGCUCAAAAAUUCAAAUUGUCUUUAUUUUUGCACUCAAGUAGCUCUUAGAAAGACAAGAACUGAACUUUGUGUAUUUUUUCCCCCAACUAUGAUCUUUCCUUUUGAGAAAAAUGAACAUGUCGCUUUUACCUCUCAGAAUCGAUGGAUCGGGUUAUAACAGGUCGAAAAUUGAGCACUUUUGCUCGCUUUGUGUUUCAAAGAUAAUGGGUUUCGAGAAAUCUAAUCAACGUGUACUCUUUCACAGACUCUUUGUCUUCUGUAAAAUGUCAGUUUGAUAGGAAUAGGCCCUUUGCAGCUAGAGGUCACGUGCUUGGAAACCCCAUAGCAACGCCUUGCUGUACUGCAAACGUUCCAGUAAACGAAAGUUCUAUAGAGGUCAAGCACGUGUGGUUUCAAACAAAAGUUUCAAGCGUUUUAGAGACUUAGUUCUUUUUAACUUUGUCAUUAUUGUCAAGUAUCGUACUGAACCCUAGUUUUGGAUUAUAUUGAGAACCGACUGCUGUUUCAAACGCCCGCUUCAGGAAGGUUUGCGGAUGCAAACACUUGUCGUGACGAAACAAAAUGGCGACUUCGCAAGGUAACACCGGGGAUGAUGUCUAUGAAACUACUGCUACGAAAGUUCGUGGAAAGUCCACAAGUUUCCACUGUUGAGUUCCCCGUUGUAGCGGAGAUUCGAGGUAUGACAGCGAUCUAAGUUUUCAUCGAAUACCCGGUCGACCAGGCAAUGACGAUAUACGAAAACAGUGGCUUCUGAAAAUACGAAGAGACGAAGGCCCAAAUUCAAGAUUUCUACCGCUUCAAGGGUAUGUUCCCGGCAUUUUAUUGAUGAGGAUUACCUUGCACCGGAUAAAGCUGGGCGUAGAUUGCUUAAGAGGGGAGCUGUUCCUUUGAAGUUUGACUGGACUUCUGAGCCGAAAGUGAGGAGGAAGAUUAUACGACACACAGAUGGGGAUAUGCAGGCAGAUGAGUCAGAGUCAGAGUCAGAAAUCAACAAGACACCAAUUAUGGAUACUCAAAAGAAGGAAAUUCAAGCACUGUAAGCUGAAUUGCUAGCAACAAAAAAGCAAUUUAGCUGAAAGCCAGAAUGAAACUGCUGUUGCUAUCAGAGAGGUGCAUGUUAUGAAAGACAAAGCUAAGACAAUAAAAGCCCAAGCUGAUAAGGAGUUAGCUUACUUGAAAAGGCAAGCUACAGAACAGCUUGCUCUACUCAAAUUCGAAAUAUUUUCUUCUGACAAAGAUUCUAUUCGGUUUUACACUAGUUUUCCGUCAUAUCAACACUUGAGGAUUUUUUUUGACUUUGUUAGACCAACGGCAGAAAAUAUGACCUAUUGCUAUGCAUCAGGUGAAAGAGAGGGUAGGCCCGGUGCUAGGAGCAUGCUCUUAAUUGAUGAAAUGUUCCUUGUUCGAUUAAAACUUGGGUUGUUUGUGCAAGAUUUAGCUCAUCGUUUUCAAAUUCACUAGAUGUAGUGGGAUUUUAGAUCUACUAGAGCAAGGGGAUUCGGUCAUGGCCGACAAAGGAUUUGACAUUGACGCUUUGUUAAAUGCAAAAAAUGUAGAAUUGACUAUUCUUCCCUUUCUUGAGGACCAAACACAGUUUUAAAGACCAAGGCAAUCGCUAGUUUAGGAAUUCAUGUAGAGAGGGCAAUCAGAAGAAUUAAGGAGUACCAUUUUUUUUAUUCUGAUGUGCCGCUAACAACACUAGGCUCAAUGACUCAAAUUUAUACUGUUGCGUAUUGAGUAUUACUAGUUUUCAUAUACUCGCACAUCUCUCCAGCUUGGGAACAUGCAUUAAAAACUUGGCACAGAUAUAGACCCAAACGGUCUCAGAACUUCGAGUAAAAAGGGCGUCAGGGCUAGGAGCUUUGUUUGUGUUCAUUUUAUUCAGAGUGACAGUAAUUUCCUCGAGCGUCAAGUCACCUUCGCAAGAGGAUGCGUGAUGGGACAUGAGUUGACGA
Molecule: long non-coding RNA, 5350 nt
Filed under: Stylophora pistillata
Lineage: Eukaryota; Metazoa; Cnidaria; Anthozoa; Scleractinia; Pocilloporidae
Description: uncharacterized LOC111325139
Source: RNAcentral